CCCGGUGGCAAUAGCAAGCGGGAACCACCUGACCCCAUCCCGAACUCAGAAGUGAAAACGCUUAGCGCCAAUGAUAGUGCAGGGCCAUCCUGCGCGAAAGUAGGACACUGCCGGGC
This 116-nucleotide ribosomal RNA is filed under the name Gammaproteobacteria bacterium. Lineage: Bacteria; Pseudomonadati; Pseudomonadota; Gammaproteobacteria. The record is from RNAcentral.